AUGAUGAAUGGUCAUGAGUUUUCUUGUUUUUCUGUCCAAAUUGUCCAGUUCCAUCUGUGUCCAGUUUAUAAUGCCAGAAGUAUAUCUUAUGACAGGUAUGGCCCAGGUGUUUAUGGCCUUGAAAAUUGCUACUCAGUUAUUUACCAAGAUAUUAUUAAUGUAUUAUUAUUAUUAUUAUUAUUAUUAUUAUUAUUAUUAUUAUUUUAUUAUGACACAGCAAACAAGAUAGAUAUGCUGGAUUUCAUAUCACAAAAUCACAAUCUGCCAACUGCAAAAGGCCACCCUACUGGGAUCUGCACGCAUCAUCCGAAAAUACAUCACACAGUCCUAGACACUUGGGAAGUGUUCGACUUGUGGUUUUGUGAAACGAAAUCCAGCAUCUCCAUCUUGUUUGCUGUGUCAUACAAUGUCGUUGUGUCAAUAAUAAUAAUAAAUUAAUAAUAUCUUGGUAAAUAACUGAGUAGCAAUUUUCUUAAUACAUUAAGAGCCAGGGAUUUGUGUGACCCUGCAGACACUACUGGAUUACAUACUCCAUCGUUGCUUCUCAUUGGCUAUGCUUGCUAGGGCUGUAUAAGUUAUAAACCAAAAAUAUAUAGAACAGUAUCCACUUCUCUGAUUUAGAGUGGAAAAGCUUAAGCAUGGACUUAUGCAAAUCAUUAUUCUAGCUGUCUUUUAUGACUUAUACUUUGAUCUGGUUGAAGAUGCUUAUGUGGCUCUAAUGGUAAUAUAUAUCCACAGCUAGAAAUGUUUUCUCCCACUGUUGGUUGAUAUUCUGCUACUCUAGCCAAUGGAUACUUAUUCACUUGAAUUUGUGUUGAAGGCUUUGUUCUCUGUUCCACCAUCAAAAGAAGUAGGCCACCAUUAUAAGAUUUCCAUCAUACCUACUGGUGUUUUAGUUGGACAGUGAUAGCAUUCUUGUUGCAUGUAGAUGUUAACGGAUUUCAAUAUAUGAUGAAAUUAUUUGGUUCUUCGCCUGUUUAUGGUAAGACACCUAUUUCAAUUAUUUUGUUUAGCAGGUUUUGCUUUGAUUGUGGUUUCAUAUAAACCAUUCUGGAGGCCUUUGAUAAGAUUGAAACGUGGCACAUCAUUCACAGUAAGAUUUCAAAAGGAAGAUAUAGCAGUUUCUGAUAAUUUUACCACCAGUUGUUGUUUGUUAAAAUCAGUGAGUAAAAUUAUAUCAUAAUUUCAGAAAUGGGUUUGGGUGCUGCCAUUUGUAACUCCCUUUUUUGUGAAUGGAUAGAUGGGAAUUCCAUUUUAGCCUCUGCACAAAUGCUAAUAAUCAUUUAAUACGCAAUUGCUUGUUGAGUCAGUUGCAUGAACUGAUGUGAGUUUAAGAUUUUAACUGCCUGCCUCAUCCACAGCAGCUGUUUCUUCACUUGUAGUGCAAUGACUGGCAUGCAAGUUUCAAACUGGAAUGUUGGGGAGAAUGCAAAUAAUAUAUUUAGUUCUUGUCAGCAGACGGCAUGAGGCACCAGUGGGUCUCACUCCCAGAGGAGUGGUCGGUUACUUUAACUGCAGUGCUUAGCUCUGCUUAAUAUAAUACGUUAUUUAGGGCAAGUUUGUAAAAGAGUGGCCGUGUAAUUUGUUAUGUUAUGCCAUGCUGUAAUGUAAAACAAUUUGAAUGGGGGAAAGUAGCUUAGAAAUGAACAUAUAUCUGAAGGAACAACUGGGAAGAAAAGAGCACUCAGCACAUUAAUUCCAUUUUUAUGUUGGUGCUUGUUAAUAUCUGGAGCCUUUCCCCCCUCAUACUGAAUAGUGAAAUGCAGCUGGAAUGGAAGUCAGCAUUUCUAGAAGUGAAUGAGCUGUACUGACUCAAGACUAUAGAAGGGAAACAUGUCCCAGAGGAUCGGGCAAGACUUCAACAUAUCUGUCGGAAAUUGCAGCUGUCAGGUUUUCUUUUAUUGUCCUGGCAAAGUGCUGUGUCAGUUGUUAUAGAAAAUUUCUACCAUGGUAUAGGAAAAGUGGCUAGUUUCCUUACACUAGGUUUUAAAGCUUAUUUAGAAUUAUAUGGUACAUGUAAUUUGUAUCUUAUGUUCACUAAGUACAUACACAUUCAUGAAGCUGUCAAAGUUAGAUCCUUAUAUUUUGGCCAUGGUUUCCGCCCCCCCCCCCCCCCCCGCCCCCAAAAGUACUUUAAUUAUUUCCUCAGAAGAAAGCAGGAGAAAAAUUUAACUAAAGUGUUUUCAUUCUUCAUCUUUAAUAAUUUCCUUGGGAGUCAGAAACUAGUCUUAGAUCUUGUUGUUGGUAUUAUGUUUAGGACUGUUGCUAGCAGUUUUAAAAGUUCAAUGUAAAAUUUCUCUCCUGAGAGCAGUUUUGUCCAAUUAUACGAAACAGCUCCAAAAUGAGCAUUUUGUGCUACUAAAUUAUGUUGUCCCAUUUAAUCUCUGACUGGCUAGAAUGAAAAGAGUAACUUCUGAUUGGUCAGUUAGGCAGACAAUUCCAAAUUUUCCUUUUUGUUCUUUAACACUACACAACAGCCAUGACUGCAUCCUAUGGCAGCUCAGGAUU
RNAcentral lists this long non-coding RNA (2508 nucleotides) under Anolis carolinensis (green anole). RNAcentral describes it as "lncRNA (ENSACAG00000036247.1)". Lineage: Eukaryota; Metazoa; Chordata; Lepidosauria; Squamata; Anolidae. The record is from RNAcentral.